GUAGGGAAUAUUGGGCAAUGGAUGCAAGUCUGACCCAGCCAUCCCGCGUGCCGGAAGAAGGCCCUCAGGGUUGUAAACGGCUUUUGACGGUGAAGAAUCGACAGGAUGCGUCCUGUUUUGACGGUAGCCGUUGAAUAAGCACCGGCUAACUCCGUGCCAUCAGCCGCGGUAAUACGGAGGGUGCGAGCGUUGUCCGGAUUUAUUGGGUUUAAAGGGUGCGUAGGCUGGAAGGUCAGUCAGCGGUGAAAAGCUAUCGCUUAACGAUAGUCUUGCCGCAGAUACUUCCUUUCUUGGAUGAGGAGGAGGCCACUGGAACGGAUGGUGUAGCGGUGAAAUGCAUAGAUAUCAUCCAGAACACCGAUUGCGAAGGCAGGUGGCUGUACCUUAAUCGACGCUGAUGCACGAAAGCAUGGGGAGCAAACAGGAUUAGAUACCCGGGUAGUCC
This 445-nucleotide ribosomal RNA is filed under the name uncultured bacterium. RNAcentral describes it as "partial 16S ribosomal RNA". It matches the Rfam family "Bacterial small subunit ribosomal RNA", at positions 354 to 796 of the family's 1533-position model. The record is from RNAcentral.